UAGGGAAUCUUCCACAAUGGGCGCAAGCCUGAUGGAGCAACGCCGCGUGAGUGAAGAAGGUUUUCGGAUCGUAAAGCUCUGUUGUAAGAGAAGAACGUGUGUGAGAGUGGAAAGUUCACACAGUGACGGUAACUUACCAGAAAGGGACGGCUAACUACGUGCCAA
Molecule: ribosomal RNA, 165 nt
Filed under: uncultured bacterium
Lineage: Bacteria
Description: partial 16S rRNA
Rfam family: Bacterial small subunit ribosomal RNA
Source: RNAcentral